GACGAACGCUGGCGGCGUGCCUAAUACAUGCAAGUAGAACGCACAGUUUAUACCGUAGCUUGCUACACCAUAGACUGUGAGUUGCGAACGGGUGAGUAACGCGUAGGUAACCUGCCUGGUAGCGGGGGAUAACUAUUGGAAACGAUAGCUAAUACCGCAUAAUAUUAAUUAUUGCAUGAUAAUUAAUUGAAAGGUGCAAUUGCACCACUACCAGAUGGACCUGCGUUGUAUUAGCUAGUAGGUGAGGUAACGGCUCACCUAGGCGACGAUACAUAGCCGACCUGAGAGGGUGAUCGGCCACACUGGGACUGAGACACGGCCCAGACGCCUACGGGAGGCAGCAGUAGGGAAUCUUCGGCAAUGGACGGAAGUCUGACCGAGCAACGCCGCGUGAGUGAAGAAGGUUUUCGGAUCGUAAAGCUCUGUUGUAAGAGAAGAACGGGUGUGAGAGUGGAAAGUUCACACUGUGACGGUAUCUUACCAGAAAGGGACGGCUAACUACGUG
Molecule: ribosomal RNA, 505 nt
Filed under: uncultured bacterium
Lineage: Bacteria
Description: partial 16S ribosomal RNA
Rfam family: Bacterial small subunit ribosomal RNA
Source: RNAcentral